RNAcentral lists this long non-coding RNA (238 nucleotides) under Phoenix dactylifera (date palm). Its description in RNAcentral is "long non-coding RNA (PDAC_LNC022602)". Lineage: Eukaryota; Viridiplantae; Streptophyta; Magnoliopsida; Arecales; Arecaceae. The record is from RNAcentral.
AAUCCAAGGGGGUUAUAGUGAAUUCCCAAGUGAGACUUGGGGAGUGGACGUAGGAGCAAGGGUUAGCUCCGAACCACUAUAAAACCUUGUGUUUGUGUUGGAUUGUCUCUAUUCUUCUUCCCCUCACAUCACUCACAGCACUUAGCAUUAAUUAGAUAACUUGCAAUAGUUUUUAAUUAGUCAACCACAUCGUUUUAAUUAUUCAAAUUAAUUUAAAACUCAAUUCACCCCCCCCCCC